RNAcentral lists this ribosomal RNA (468 nucleotides) under uncultured bacterium. Its description in RNAcentral is "partial 16S ribosomal RNA". It matches the Rfam family "Bacterial small subunit ribosomal RNA", at positions 28 to 507 of the family's 1533-position model. The record is from RNAcentral.
GACGAACGCUGGCGGCGUGCUUAACACAUGCCAGUCGAACGGAAAGGCCCUGCUUUUGUGGGGUGCUCGAGUGGCGAACGGGUGAGUAACACGUGAGUAACCUGCCCUUGACUUUGGGAUAACUUCAGGAGACUGGGGCUAAUACCGGAUAGGAGCUCCUGCUGCAUGGUGGGGGUUGGAAAGUUUCGGCGGUUGUGGAUGGACUCGCGGGUUAUCAGCUUGUUGGUGGGGUAGUGGCUUACCAAGGCUUUGACGGGUAGCCGGCCUGAGAGGGUGAACGGCCACAUUGGGACUGAGAGACGGCCCAGACUCCUACGGGAGGCAGCAGUGGGGAAUAUGGCACAAUGGGCGGAAGCCUGAUGCAGCAAUGCCGCGUGCGGGAUGACGGCCUUCGGGUUGUAAACCGCUUUCGCCUGUGACGAAGCGUGAGUGACGGUAAUGGGUAAAGAAGCACCGGCUAACUACGUG